Rattus norvegicus (Norway rat) is the source of this 2124-nucleotide non-coding RNA. The record is from RefSeq and is a predicted model, not a curated record. NCBI's taxonomy places the organism in Eukaryota, Metazoa, Chordata, Mammalia, Rodentia, Muridae.
CCACAGGACCGCAGGGCGCAAGGCCUGGGCGAUCAGGGACACCGUGGAGGGAGGGCGCGCAGUGCGGUGUCCUAGAGGAUGAAGCCGCGCCGCUGCGCCGCCACAGAUGGUGCUCCCGGACUAUGGGAGGCGACCUCGCACCGGAGCUCACCUUGAUGUAGCCAGCCAGAAGAACAACGGGCGCCCAGAGCCUGAGUAGCAGCAAGACAAGAAGCUUGCCGGUGGCCGCCAUCCCUGGCCUGGUCGCCGUGGCCUGGGCUCUCCUACACUCAUGCACAGCCAGACCAGAGCGUCUCCCUAUCAUCAUCAAAAACCUUCUGAAGCCGGCUCACCGCCACUCUGGUGGGUUUUAACCGACUUCAACAGACUUCACAAAACCACGCCCUUCUUCAACAGGAUCCAAUACAAGCAGGCAUAAGUAGCCUAACUUGCCGCCCCUUGUUUAACCAAGGCCCAAUCAGAGCAUGGAUGCACCGUCUCCCCUCCCCGUCCAGCGCGUGCACCCGCAUGGCCCCGCCCCAAGACACGACAGCCCCGCCCCUGCUCUGGACUCCAGGCUGGGGAAUCAGGAGUAUUGUGGGCAGACCAUGGGCCGCUGUUCCUAAGGCCUGAGGCUCCUGCGUGGUUAUCUAUUGGGGUGGCUCUACAUCAUCCACCUUCAGCCUAGGGAUUCAGGCACGCCCCACUCCCCCGUCCCUGCGGGAUAUUUUCCGAUUCCUUUGGGUACAGCUCUCUUUGGAGCUUCUGGAAAAUGUUUUAAUUAAAAAACAGGAUGAAUUGUUGGGAGGUCCGGACAGUUAGGAGGGGCUUAGUGAAUCAGUUUCAAGGAUAUCCUGAAAUUGUUUUAAAUUGCUGAAGGAGCUUUCCCAAAGGAUACAACGUUUCAAUCUACCCUCCUGUUACCCUACAGGGGGGAAGGCUCCAUCUACACUGCUACAGCUUUUUCAGGGAAGCAUUAAUUUUUUGGGGGGUCAAAGGUCUCCAAUUGUAGCCUGCUGGGGAAAGAGCUCACACACCACCAGUUAGUAACCCCUUUUCUACCCUCUGUAAGGAAGUGCAAUAAACUCCCUGAGGCCCCACAGUGAACUCUAGCCUCAUACCUCAGUUUGUCACUGUGACUUUGGGAAUGGAGAAUAGACCUUGUUUACCACGACCCAAGGGAAGGAAUUUUAGCUACAUGUGUUUAGCUCAGUACACAGUCCUUAAGUAAGUGCCUGGUUCAGAAUGGUAGGAUCAUUGUUUAGAAGAUUAGAAAAAAGGGACCAGAGAUGGCAAUAGGACAAUAGUAGCUCACUAUUGAGCAGCGAUUUUUAAAUUUACAAAUUUCUUUUGUAUACAUUCUCUGGUUUCAUAUUCAUAUGGACCCUGUACAGCUCAGUUACUUCAUUCCUAGGAAAAUAACCUAGGCUGAGAAUAAAUAUUUUAAAUGCAUUUGAGGGAUUAGUUAUUUACUUACAUACUUUGAAGUUGAAGACACAGCCCAGAGAUCAGCAUGCCCUAUGCGAGUCCACCGCCUUCUUCAUAGUCCUUGGUUUCCCUGAGACACAAGUCCUGCUGUGGAACCAGGCUGUCCCUGAGUUUACUAUAAAACUCAAGCUGUCUGUUCCUCCUGCUUCUGCCUCUUAGUGCUAUGGUUAUAGGAGUAGUCACCAUAUCAAGAAAGAUAAGACAAAUUCUUUUAAAAUAUAAUGUAAAUUGUAAACAUAUAGUAAUUUUAAUUUUGCGUUUAAAGUAGACUAGAAGAAAAUAAGCCAACAUGUUAAUUUUUCUGGAUAAUAGGAUUAAAACAGUUGCUUUAGUCUUCUCAAUAUAUUAUAUUUUCUAUAAGAAGCAUGUAUUCCUCUUAUAAUGCAGGGAGUAAUGGAUCCCUCCUCUUUUGUCUUUCUGUGUCUUAUUAACAGUCCAUCGUUAAGUAGAUAUGGUACCUGCUAUACUCUCACUUAAAUGACUAAUGCUUCCAGCAAUGUAAUAGCUAUAACACUUUUAAAACUUUCUCAGGCUAGUCAUUAUAAUUUUUUUAGAAUGAAUUCCUUAAAAUCAUAGCUAGCCCUGCCUCAUAUAUACAUAUAUAUGUACUGUUUCAGUAUAAAGAGAAAAGUCUGCUCAAACUGACUUAAACAGGAC